UACAGAGGUCUCAAGCGUUGUUCGGAUUCAUUGGGCGUAAAGGGUGUGUAGGUGGCGCGCUAAGUCGGGUGUGAAAUCCCUCGGCUUAACCGGGGAACUGCGUCUGAUACUGGAUGGCUUGAGGUUGGGAGAGGGAUGCGGAAUUCCAGGUGUAGCGGUGAAAUGCGUAGAUAUCUGGAGGAACACCGGUGGCGAAGGCGGCAUCCUGGACCAAUUCUGACGCUGAGGAGCGAAAGCCAGGGGAGCAAACGGG
RNAcentral lists this ribosomal RNA (253 nucleotides) under uncultured bacterium. RNAcentral describes it as "partial 16S ribosomal RNA". It matches the Rfam family "Bacterial small subunit ribosomal RNA", at positions 524 to 776 of the family's 1533-position model. The record is from RNAcentral.